UAUGCAUCUAGAUUAGUUUGAUCAUGGCUCAGAUUGAACGCUAGCGGGAUGCUUUACACAUGCAAGUCGAACGGCAGCACGAGAUAAGCUUGCUUAUCUUGGUGGCGAGUGGCGAACGGGUGAGUAACGUAUCGGAACGUGCCCAGUAGCGGGGGAUAACUACGCGAAAGCGUGGCUAAUACCGCAUACGCCCUACGGGGGAAAGGGGGGGAUUCUUCGGAACCUCUCACUAUUGGAGCGGCCGAUAUCAGAUUAGCUAGUUGGUGGGGUAAUGGCCUACCAAGGCCGCGAUCUGUAGCUGGUUUGAGAGGACGACCAGCCACACUGGGACUGAGACACGGCCCAGACUCCUACGGGAGGCAGCAGUGGGGAAUUUUGGACAAUGGGGGCAACCCUGAUCCAGCCAUCCCGCGUGUGCGAUGAAGGCCUUCGGGUUGUAAAGCACUUUUGGCAGGGAAGAAAAGGCGCGGGCUAAUAUCCUGCGCCGCUGACGGUACCUGCAGAAUAAGCACCGGCUAACUACGUGCCAGCAGCCGCGGUAAUACGUAGGGGUGCCAAGCGGUUUAAUUCGGGAAAUUUAACUGGGGCGGUUAAAAGCGGUGCGUUCGGGCGGGUUUUGGGCAAAGAAAGGUGUGAAAUCCCAGGGGCUUAACCCUUGGAACUGCA
This 666-nucleotide ribosomal RNA is filed under the name uncultured Pusillimonas sp. RNAcentral's name for it is "bacterial SSU rRNA". It matches the Rfam family "Bacterial small subunit ribosomal RNA", at positions 1 to 625 of the family's 1533-position model. The record is from RNAcentral. Lineage: Bacteria; Pseudomonadati; Pseudomonadota; Betaproteobacteria; Burkholderiales; Alcaligenaceae.